GACGAACGCUGGCGGCGUGCUUAACACAUGCGAGUCGAACGGAAAGGCCCCUUUGGGGGUCCUCGAGUGGCGAACGGGUGCGUAACACGUGAGUAACCUGCCCUUGACUUCGGGAUAACUUCAGGAAACUGGGGCUAAUACCGGAUAGGAAUCCUUGCUGCAUGGUGGGGGUUGGAAAGCUUCGGCGGUUUUGGAUGGACUCGCGGCUUAUCAGCUUGUUGGUGGGGUAGUGGCUUACCAAGGCUUUGACGGGUAGCCGGCCUGAGAGGGCGACCGGCCACAUUGGGACUGAGAUACGGCCCAGACUCCUACGGGAGGCAGCAGUGGGGAAUAUUGCACAAUGGGCGGAAGCCUGAUGCAGCAACGCCGCGUGCGGGAUGACGGCCUUCGGGUUGUAAACCGCUUUCAGCAGGGGCGAAGCUUGUGGUGACGGUACCUGCAGAAGAAGCACCGGCUAACUACGUG
RNAcentral lists this ribosomal RNA (465 nucleotides) under uncultured bacterium. Its description in RNAcentral is "partial 16S ribosomal RNA". It matches the Rfam family "Bacterial small subunit ribosomal RNA", at positions 28 to 507 of the family's 1533-position model. The record is from RNAcentral.